This 252-nucleotide ribosomal RNA is filed under the name uncultured bacterium. RNAcentral's name for it is "partial 16S ribosomal RNA". It matches the Rfam family "Bacterial small subunit ribosomal RNA", at positions 524 to 775 of the family's 1533-position model. The record is from RNAcentral.
UACGUAGGGACCAAGCGUUGUUCGGAUUUACUGGGCGUAAAGGGCGCGUAGGCGGCGUGUCAAGUCAAUUGUGAAAUCUCCGAGCUUAACUCGGAACGGUCAAUUGAUACUGAUGUGCUAGAGUGCAGAAGGGGCAAUCGGAAUUCUUGGUGUAGCGGUGAAAUGCGUAGAUAUCAAGAGGAACACCUGAGGUGAAGACGGGUUGCUGGGCUGACACUGACGCUGAGGCGCGAAAGCUAGGGUAGCAAACGG